AGCAGACUCCAAGUUUAAGUCUGUCAAAUGAAAGAAGAAUAUAUUGGAAAAAAAAACCCUAGGAUUUACCCUUCCAUCAGUGUCACUGCACAUCCAUAGUGAUUUGACUAGACUAUACCUGUAAAGAGGACCAAGUUAAAUCUUGAGGGAAAUGCUUCCUUCUAUGACACCUAUUACAGCAAUGAAACUGUGUGAUUUUUGUCCAUUAUUUCUGCUAUUUGAGCUUCGUAUAGAAGCAGGGGAUGCCAAGAGAAGAGGAACCUCAUGUGAGACCUCAGCGGGAAGCUUCUCUCCUCCCUCAUUCUGAUUCAACAAGAGCAAGCAGGUAUGCUGACUCUACCACUUCCUGGGCAGCCUGUUACUACACCCAACAACUCUUUCUGAAAAUAAAUUCUUCUUCAACCUGAAUCUUCCCCUCCAGACUGG
Non-coding RNA from Coturnix japonica (Japanese quail), 426 nucleotides. The record is from RefSeq and is a predicted model, not a curated record. NCBI's taxonomy places the organism in Eukaryota, Metazoa, Chordata, Aves, Galliformes, Phasianidae.